GAGGAUAGGGGGAGAGAGCAGCAUACCUGUGUGGCUCCUUCUUUCUGUCUUCUUUUUCAUUUCUUGUUUUUUCUUUUUAUGUGUGUAUACAACUGUAACUCCUGUGUCCAACUUGUAGAAAACCCAACUCUUAUUUGUGCUUCUUUCUAAAAAACAUUAUAGCGGAUCUUCUGAUAAAAUUCCUAUUUAGGCUAAGUUUCUCUGAUUAUAUUUUAAAUGUAAAUGGCCACCAGCCCAUUUUUUUUUUUUUAAAUUGUGC
This 259-nucleotide unclassified non-coding RNA is filed under the name Hevea brasiliensis (rubber tree). The record is from RNAcentral. Lineage: Eukaryota; Viridiplantae; Streptophyta; Magnoliopsida; Malpighiales; Euphorbiaceae.